This 273-nucleotide ribosomal RNA is filed under the name uncultured Lactobacillus sp. Its description in RNAcentral is "partial 16S ribosomal RNA". It matches the Rfam family "Bacterial small subunit ribosomal RNA", at positions 261 to 524 of the family's 1533-position model. Lineage: Bacteria; Bacillati; Bacillota; Bacilli; Lactobacillales; Lactobacillaceae. The record is from RNAcentral.
CGGCCUACCAAGGCGAUGAUGCAUAGCCGAGUUGAGAGACUGAUCGGCCACAUUGGGACUGAGACACGGCCCAAAACUCCUACGGGAGGCAGCAGUAGGGAAUCUUCCACAAUGGACGCAAGUCUGAUGGAGCAACGCCGCGUGAGUGAAGAAGGGUUUCGGGCUCGUAAAGCUCUGUUGUUGGUGAAGAAGGACAGGGGUAGUAACUGACCUUUGUUUGACGGUAAUCAAUUAGAAAGUCACGGCUAACUACGUGCCAGCAGCCGCGGUAAU